Molecule: non-coding RNA, 96 nt
Organism: Didymella sp. IMI 355093
Lineage: Eukaryota; Fungi; Ascomycota; Dothideomycetes; Pleosporales; Didymellaceae
Source: the annotation of a GenBank genome assembly
GCAUCGGUGGUUUAGUGGUAAAAUUAGCCGUUGCCAAGCAACCUUCCCAGGUUACACAGUUUCGGCUAGCCCCGGGUUCGAUUCCCGGCCGAUGCA